CAUAACCAAAAAUUACAAUUGGGUUUAAUGUAGGUGUUGUAAUUAAACGAACAUCGCCACCACCUGGUGCCCAAGUAUCAUAAACACCACCAAUGUACAUUGCUUUAGCAACUAAUAAAAAAGCACCACUACCUAAAAGACAUAAAUGAAUCCCUAGAAUAGUUGUCAUCUUGUUUUUAUCACGCCA
This 187-nucleotide antisense RNA is filed under the name Phaeodactylum tricornutum. Its description in RNAcentral is "Antisense RNA which regulates isiA expression". It matches the Rfam family "Antisense RNA which regulates isiA expression". The record is from Rfam by way of RNAcentral. RNAcentral also lists the same sequence under 1 other name. Lineage: Eukaryota; Bacillariophyta; Bacillariophyceae; Surirellales; Neidiaceae.